UACGUAGGGGGCAAGCGUUGUCCGGAAUUAUUGGGCGUAAAGAGCGUGUAGGCGGUCCGGUAAGUCAGCUGUGAAAGUCAAGGGCUCAACCCUUGAAUGCCGGUUGAUACUGUCGGGCUAGAGUCCGGAAGAGGCGAGUGGAAUUCCCGGUGUAGCGGUGAAAUGCGCAGAUAUCGGGAGGAGCACCAAUGGCGAAGGCAGCUCGCUGGGACGGUACUGACGCUGAGACGCGAAAGCGUGGGGAGCAAACAGG
RNAcentral lists this ribosomal RNA (253 nucleotides) under uncultured bacterium. RNAcentral describes it as "partial 16S ribosomal RNA". It matches the Rfam family "Bacterial small subunit ribosomal RNA", at positions 524 to 776 of the family's 1533-position model. The record is from RNAcentral.